CUACGGGGGGCAGCAGUGGGGAAUAUUGCACAAUGGAGGAAACUCUGAUGCAGCAACGCCGCGUGGAGGAUGACACUUUUCGGAGCGUAAACUCCUUUUAUAUAGGAAGAUAAUGACGGUACUAUAUGAAUAAGCACCGGCUAACUCCGUGCCAGCAGCCGCGGUAAUACGGAGGGUGCAAGCGUUACUCGGAAUCACUGGGCGUAAAGAGCGUGUAGGCGGGUUAAUAAGUUGGAAGUGAAAUCCUAUGGCUCAACCAUAGAACUGCUUCCAAAACUGUUAACCUAGAAUAUGGGAGAGGUAGAUGGAAUUUCUGGUGUAGGGGUAAAAUCCGUAGAGAUCAGAAGGAAUACCGAUUGCGAAGGCGAUCUACUGGAACAUUAUUGACGCUGAGACGCGAAAGCGUGGGGAGCAAACAGGAUUAGAUACCUUUGUAGUC
RNAcentral lists this ribosomal RNA (439 nucleotides) under uncultured bacterium. RNAcentral's name for it is "partial 16S ribosomal RNA". It matches the Rfam family "Bacterial small subunit ribosomal RNA", at positions 339 to 795 of the family's 1533-position model. The record is from RNAcentral.